This is a non-coding RNA of Plectropomus leopardus (leopard coralgrouper), 270 nucleotides long. NCBI's taxonomy places the organism in Eukaryota, Metazoa, Chordata, Actinopteri, Perciformes, Serranidae. The record is from RefSeq and is a predicted model, not a curated record.
UGUGGUUGACGAAGGUUACCAUGACAACGGUUCGGUCCAUCCUGGGCGGGGACAGUUCCAUCAACUGGGAGGAGGAAAGAUGGAGGGCAGAGGAGUUACCGACAACGGCAGAAUAAAUUAUGGGAAAGACGGACGGACAGAGAGACGGGAAAGGAGGAAGACAGGAGGCCGAAGACGACGAGGAAGGAGAAAGAGGCAGCAGAUCCCCCACCCGUCUGAGCGCCUGGUUGAUGGAGCGGACGAUGUUGGAGUUGAGAGACUUCCUUCUCU